UAGGUAGUUUCAUGUUGUUGGGCUCCAAUUCGUGUUCCUGCAACACGAAGCUGCCUUAA
RNAcentral lists this microRNA precursor (59 nucleotides) under Lepisosteus oculatus (spotted gar). RNAcentral's name for it is "Loc-Mir-196-P1_pre stem-loop". Lineage: Eukaryota; Metazoa; Chordata; Actinopteri; Semionotiformes; Lepisosteidae. The record is from RNAcentral.